Camellia sinensis is the source of this 835-nucleotide non-coding RNA. The record is from RefSeq and is a predicted model, not a curated record. NCBI's taxonomy places the organism in Eukaryota, Viridiplantae, Streptophyta, Magnoliopsida, Ericales, Theaceae.
AAUAGAAUAUAACACACAAAUAGAUCAUAACAUUCAUUCUCUCCAAUUCACUUUGUUAUUUGAAAGAGUUAGGGUUGGUUCUCUCUCUACUCUGGCGAGAAAUGCUGCCUCAAUUUUCAGGUUUAUUUGGAAGUAUUGGUGAUGGCACGAGUGGUGUCGGAAAAAAAUAAAAUUCGAUAUGGUCCUAGGGACGUCCUUCCAAACAUUGUCCAUCAAUGUCUAGAUCAGAGGUGCCUUUAUCAUCCGAAGGUACUUCUCAUGCAAAGUGAGAUAUAGGUGAUAGUAGAUGGGUUCGACUCGAGGAAAGAAUACAUCGAAAAUUAUGGUCAACAAUGGUGGCGAAAAGCUACUCGUUGAGGUGACUACAAAUAAAGGAUGUCUAGUAGUACGUAAUUCCACUAAGUUGGCAAAUGAGCUUGGUGUAGAGAUUCGAUUGAGGGCACUGUUGCAGGGAGUGACUUGUUGGGGCAAGAUUCCUGAACCAAUUUAGAGAGGCGAUCAUUCAGGCUGCUCGCGUAUUUGCAUAUGAUUCCUUCAUAUAAGUAGGUUAAUAAAUAGAGGUUAUCUUCUUUACGGCUGUCCCGUAAUUCAGAAUUUUAUGGCAGCCAUUCACUAUGUGCCACAUAAGUCGUUGGUGAGUGGCUGUGUAACGAGUCGGGUCAAAUUCGAUUUGUAUUUUCUUUUUCAGCACCUGUUUGGUAAUUGUCUUGGUAUAUUUGUGGGUUUGUGUCUUGGUUAAAGCGGGAUUGGUACGAGUUUUCAAAUUGUUUAAUUGUGUAAUUAUUAUUAUAGUUGUAGGGUCGUGGAUCAUUCUAUUUAAAUUUGUGAAAUUACA